UGAGGAAUAUCGGUCAAUGGGCGAGAGCCUGAACCAGCCAAGUAGCGUGCAGGAUGACGGCCCUAUGGGUUGUAAACUGCUUUUAUAUGGGAAUAAAGUGAGGGACGUGUCCCUUAUUGCAUGUACCAUAUGAAUAAGGACCGGCUAAUUCCGUGCCAGCAGCCGCGGUAAUACGGAAGGUCCAGGCGUUAUCCGGAUUUAUUGGGUUUAAAGGGAGCGUAGGCUGUUUGUUAAGCGUGUUGUGAAAUGUAAGAGCUCAACUUUUAGAUUGCAGCGCGAACUGGCAGACUUGAGUGCGCACAACGUAGGCGGAAUUCAUGGUGUAGCGGUGAAAUGCUUAGAUAUCAUGACGAACUCCGAUUGCGAAGGCAGCUUACGGGAGCGCAACUGACGCUAAAGCUCGAAGGUGCGGGUAUCGAACAGG
Molecule: ribosomal RNA, 424 nt
Filed under: Verrucomicrobiota bacterium
Lineage: Bacteria; Pseudomonadati; Verrucomicrobiota
Description: Verrucomicrobia bacterium partial 16S ribosomal RNA
Rfam family: Bacterial small subunit ribosomal RNA
Source: RNAcentral